Molecule: non-coding RNA, 330 nt
Organism: Pelobates cultripes (western spadefoot toad)
Lineage: Eukaryota; Metazoa; Chordata; Amphibia; Anura; Pelobatidae
Source: the annotation of a GenBank genome assembly
GAUGUCCGUCCUGGAAUCUGCUGAAGCCACUCUCCCAACUAGGGGGUUACAGUUCCAAGUACUACUAUUGCAACUGGGACUACUACUGCCAUCACUUUCUACAAGCUCAGUUAACCUUGGUAUUUGUCCACCUUCUUAUGAUCUUUCUUGUUGAUGUUAUGGUGUCUGGGUAUUGCCACACACACAAGCACUGCAGUCUUCCCUUCUUUGUCUACCGCCACAUUGUCCAGUUGGUUGGCCAUUACUUGGUGGCUGCUACUUACUUGCCACACGAUUUUAGCCCUGUCAUUCUCAACUAACCUUUGUGAUCUAUACAUAGACAGGUUUAGC